UGCAAUUAGAUAAUUUACUCACCACAUCCACAGAGCUGCUAUUAUGAGAAACUGAGCACAGGAAUACUGUUGAAGCUCUUCAUUGCUGACUGAGUCCAGGUACAGCUUGUUGUCUUUAGUGAAUCCAUCUGUUACCUGUCGUCCGUUCUUGUACCAGAUUAUAUCACAGUUUGACAAAAGACUGCCUCUGCAGAAGAGGACCAACGCCUACUUCUACAUCAUUGCCUCUUUAGCCCCACCCACUAAUUUACGUAUGUAGAAAGUUAGAGGUCAGUAAAUAAGACAGUGACCCAAACACCGGCAGGGUUUGCACGUGUCGUGAAAAACCUGGAAAAUUUAUGGCGUAUUUUCCAGUCCUGGAAAAUACAAAUGAGAGAAAAUGUAAAAUGUCCUGGAAAACCUUAUAGUUGUCCUGGAAAACUAUUUUUAAAAGUAUUUUGUGUUUUCCAAUGUCAUUUGUGUGGAAAUAUUACAAAGUCUGUAAACAGAACAUUACUAGAGCCCAGCGAUACUUUCAAAGAGGGGAAAAUACUAUCGCAGGCUGCAGCUAACUUGUUCACGAUUUGCGAAAUAUUGGAAGAAAAUAUAUAAUAUUGAAUUAAGGAGUGGGGUUACAUAAAUGCAUCUCUGAGGGGAACUGACUGUCUUAAGAAAUGUUUAGAUGUUUUUUUUUCCCCAUCUUGCCUCUGUGUAAUACUGAAAUAGUUUUUGUAAGCAUACCGCUGCUGUGUUUACAGCGGUAACCUAUUGAAUGCUGUAUUGCUGCUGUUCCAUAAGCGCCACCUGCUGCCAGAGAGUGAAUUUGCGCUCUCACGCAGCCCAUCUACUGUAUUUGAUUCCUGCAGAUGUUUUUAUGUAGCAUA
Molecule: long non-coding RNA, 863 nt
Organism: Cyprinus carpio (common carp)
Lineage: Eukaryota; Metazoa; Chordata; Actinopteri; Cypriniformes; Cyprinidae
Exons: 3
Source: RefSeq, a predicted model, not a curated record